CCUACGGGUGGCUGCAGUGGGGAAUAUUGCUCAAUGGGGGUAACCCUGAUGCAGCGACGCCGCGUGAGUGAAGAAGUACUUCGUUACGUAAAGCUCUAUCUGCAGGGAAGAAAGAGAAAUUUCAUGGUACCUGAAGAAUAAGCUCCGGCUAACGACGUGCCAGCAGCCGCGGUAAUACGGAGGGAGCGAUCGUUAUCAGGAAGUAUUGGGCGUAAAGGGUGGGUAGAAGGCAUAGUAAGUCUUUUGUAAAAAGGCGGGGCUCAACCCAGAAGGGCAAAAGAUACUGCAAAGCUAGAGUAUGAGAGAGGAAAGUGGAACUACAUGUGUAGCGGUGAAAUGCAUAAAUAUAAGUAAGAACACCAGUGGCGAAGGCGGCUUGCUGGGGCGAAACUGACACUGAGGCACGAAAGCGUGGGGAGCAAACAGGAUUAGAUACCCUAGUAGUC
Molecule: ribosomal RNA, 446 nt
Filed under: uncultured bacterium
Lineage: Bacteria
Description: partial 16S ribosomal RNA
Rfam family: Bacterial small subunit ribosomal RNA
Source: RNAcentral